RNAcentral lists this ribosomal RNA (435 nucleotides) under uncultured microorganism. RNAcentral describes it as "bacterial SSU rRNA". It matches the Rfam family "Bacterial small subunit ribosomal RNA", at positions 346 to 795 of the family's 1533-position model. The record is from RNAcentral.
GGGCUGCAGUCGAGAAUAUUCGUCAAUGCCCGAAAGGGUGAACGAGCGACGCCGCGUGCGGGAUGAAGGCCUUAGGGUUGUAAACCGCUUUUCUGCUUGAAAAAUUUCGUGAUUGUAAAGCAGGAAUAAGAGGUUACUAACUCUGUGCCAGCAGUAGCGGUAAUACAGAGACCUCGAGCGUUAUCCGGAUUUAUUGGGCGUAAAGAGCAUGUAGGCGGGUAUAUUAGUCAGAUGUCAAAUCUUCGAGCUCAACUCGAAAACUGCAUUUGAAACGGUAUAUCUAGAGAAGGCGAGAGACUGAUGGAACAUAUGGUGUAGCAGUAAAAUGCGUUGAUAUCAUAUGGAACACCAAAGGCGAAAGCAUUCAGUUAGCACUUUUCUGACGCUGAGAUGCGAAAGCGUGGGUAGCGAAUGGGAUUAGAUACCCGUGUAGUC